GAUACCUCAGUUGGUUAGAGUGUGGUGCUAACAAUACCAAGGUUGCUGGUUUGAUCCCUGUAAGGGACCA
Molecule: non-coding RNA, 70 nt
Organism: Podarcis lilfordi (Lilford's wall lizard)
Lineage: Eukaryota; Metazoa; Chordata; Lepidosauria; Squamata; Lacertidae
Source: the annotation of a GenBank genome assembly